CAGCAACUGCUACUUCCCCUUCCCCUGUCCCCUUCCCUGGGUGCCUCCUCAAGUACCAGUUUUGAAGAGAGAAGCCUCUUUGGAGGAAGACUCGUAACUAAAUUAAGGGAGGGACUGGGUUCUAGGAAGUUGAAAGAGAACUGUCUCUAAAUGCCAAUUUAUCAAGGAAAAUGAAAGCACGUGAAGUUGGGACUGAAGGAAACUUUAACUCACGUUCCAGAAGC
Non-coding RNA from Choloepus hoffmanni (Hoffmann's two-fingered sloth), 224 nucleotides. The record is from Rfam. Lineage: Eukaryota; Metazoa; Chordata; Mammalia; Pilosa; Megalonychidae.